AUAAAGUCUCUCCGAUAUCUACAGAUAACUUCAGCCGUGAGUUUCGGUGUUUGUGUGUGUUUUCUUCCUCCACCUGUCCAGGGGACUUCCUCUGCGUAUCGAAAGUGAAAGAAGUUUGCAGGAGUCGCCUCGCACAGUCAGACUGAGAAGCUGGUUUCCAUGACACCCAAACACAGCAGCCGUUCACCGGUCACCUCUGGCUGGAUCCACAUGUCUGGAAACAAGUUUGAUAAUCUGAAAAUGUCUGCACUCUCGUUUGGAGGACAUCAGCAUGAAUCAUGACCUUGUAAAAAUGCUUUCUGCGAAACUAGACAGCCUUACCUUCUCCGAUUACUAUGGUCUGCAGAGUCCGGGCCUGACAUGCUAUUUGAACAGCGUGCUCCAGGUGCUGUACAUGACCCAAGACUUCCGGGAGGCUGUGGAACGGUUUGAGCAAUGCCGCAGUGAAGAUUCAACCACCAUCGACCAACAUCUGGCAAGACUGUUUGCUGAUUUACAGAAAAGCAAGGCCAGAACACAUGAUGUCACUGCAAAACUGGGGAUCACGAACGUAUAUGAGCAACGUGAUGCCGCCGAGUAUUUUGAGAAGAUCCUGAGUCUGAGCAAUCCGGAGGCAUCCAAGAUAUUCAGGGGAGAGCUGAACCAUAAGACCACCUGCCUCAGGUGCAAGCAGAGGAGCGAGUCCAGGACCUUUUUUUGGAUCCUGCCGCUUGCGAUGGGAGACUCGUGGUGUCAAACGUACAGCGUGGAGAAAGGGCUGAAGGCAUUCUUCAAGAGAGAAAAGGUCUGCAGGGACAACAAGAUUUACUGUGAACUGUGCAAUAAAAAGCGAGACACGGAAUUUGCAUGUGAGAUGACACAAAGUCCAGAGGUUUUGACCCUCCUGCUGAAGAGGUUCAGGUUUGACUACAAGCAUGAGUGUUACGUCAAGCUUCACUGCGAUGUGGACGUCCCCCAGACUUUGCACAUGGAGGGCUGCAAAUACAACCUCUACGCCUUAGUCCACCACUUUGGUAGCCUAACAGGCGGUCAUUAUACUGCACAAAUCAAAUCUUACGACACUCAGGAGUGGUAUCACUUCAAUGAUGACAUUGUGAAGAGGGUCAGUCCACCACUGUUUAGCGCUGGAGCCAAGCAUCUGAGGUCUUUUACAGCUUACCUCCUCAUGUACAGAAAGGAAAAGCGCUGUGACGAUACCACUUGGGUGAAACGGUCAAACUGUUCCGGGGAACUGGGAAAACAUAAAAGCCAGAGAGCUGCGUGUGUGAAGCCACCCAAAAGGACGUUGUUUCAGUCAGGCUCUGCAGCAGAUGGAGACAGUCACAAACCAAACUUGCAAACACAAAAGUCAAAGUCUGCAAAGCUUCGAGAAGAUGGGGGACAAAAAAGUCACAAGGCUCACAGACAUUGGCUCGAUACAAACCCAGAGGAGCACAUGAGGCAUCUUAACACUAGAGGGACCCCAAGAGAUGGGAUGAUAACACAAACCCAUGAAUCCCAACAGAAAAGACUGAAGAACCAUAUUUUUGCAAAGGAGGCAGAAGUAAGAAUGGAAGGAAAGAGUAAAGAGGCUUGUGUCAGUGAAAAGCUGAAUCAUUCUGAUGUGAAGUCAUGUCAUGUUUCCUCCAACGGCUCCUCUCCUUCUUCACUUCCAUGCUUCACAAAUGGGUCUGACCAUUCGCCAGACCUCCGCAGAAAGUCAAAGAGUUCAAAGAGAGACAAGAAGAAAACACAGUCUGUUGUGACAGCACACGGUAGCUGCAAACUGGACGCUGUGACAAAAGGACAAAAAACUGCAAGUCCCGCACAGACAAGAAAUGCUCCAAAGAGCACGAACAAAGUCAGAAGAGGUCCAUGGAGGUGAUGGAACAUUAAGGAUAAUAUCGAUAUCUUCAGGUGAAGAGGUGGUUUGAAAUGUUUCUUUGUUUGUUUGUUUGUUUUGUUUGUACCUUUUAAAUGUGACUCAUGUUGAAAUCAUGCAAACCGAAUUGUUGAAUCACAUACAGUACAUCUUCUGUGAAAUGUAUGAUUGGCAAUAAAAAGUACAAAUUAGACAGUCAAUCAGUCGACUGUGAGGGACAAACUCUUGAGCGUGUGUUCAUAGAUUGAAAAGACAAGUGAAAACAUAACACAAGUGGCAAAACUAUUUGACUGAUCAUUUCAGAUUUACCCCAGUUGUUUUGCAGACUCCAAGGCUUUUGUUGUGUUAUUAUUAUUUCCUGGUAUUUUGUUGUACAAUUUAACUUAUUUUCAUUUAUUUGUUGUUUUGUUGUGAAGGAGUGCAGCUUUUAUAAUGGAAAGAAUUACACUAUUGAUACUGAGUGAGCUUUUAAUUAACAUCUGAUAAAUGCGUCGUAGACUAUUAAACAUGAAGAUGGCAUAAUAGUUAUUUUACUGAGAGAAUAAUUAUAAUAAAAUCACUGGGACUUGAGCCUUUUGAGUGGAAAAUACCUGAUACCUGAUGAAACAUCUACCUAAUUUUUUGAGCUGUCCAACAAACAGAAAAUGUGUUUUUUGUAUGGACAUUCUGCAUUCAUGCAAACAGAAGCUUUAUCAAGUUAUGCGGUUAUUAGUUAUUGAGCAGAGAUCAAUUCGAGAGAAGGAAGCAUCGAUGGCAACGUUAAAAACAUCAUGAGAAAAUCCAGCAGAAAGCCUCCAUGGUCACAACAUGUAAGAACAAGGCGUCUGUAGGCCGACACUUUUGGCUUCACUCCGUGAUGCUGCUGAGUAUUUUUGAGAAGAUCAUGUGUCUGACCUGUGAAGGUGAUGUGUCACAACUCCUAACCAACUUAAACAAACAUCACAAACAAGUGUGAAACGAGUUAGAGACAAGCCAUUACAGUUCUUCACGUUUCCUAUGUAUAUUAGGCUACAUGUAUGUUCUUGAAGUAGGCCUACUAUAGCUUUCUUAAAUUUGUACACGAAUUCAGCACUUGAGAAAAUUAAUUUAGUAACCUUCCACCACUAAUAAGGAUCAACAGGUUUUCGAUUAACUGAUCAUUUCAGAUUUACUACCGAGUUCGCGGUGCAUUCAGGUGCGCCUCAUAAACAGACCGUCGCCGACAGGGCACACUGCAGUAAGACAUACCGGUUGACUUGAGACUUAAGUCGAGACUUGUCUGAGCAAAUUAAUGACAAUUAUAACAGGAGACAAACGAGAGUGAAAAUUUGGGCGAGUAAGAGCUGCGUAAGGCAAAACACUGGCGUAUGUUUCUUUAAAUUUCAAAACGACACGGAAGUAUUUUUUGGUUCAUCUUCUUCCUGCUUGUUGAACACUACCGCUGGAGAACAUCAGGAGAAAUGGUUAUACGAGUUCUGGUUCCGUGGUUCGAUGGAAAAACGCUUCAUUUCGACCUGUGCGACAUCACGGGGGAGUUUCAGAGGUUCACUGUGCUGCAGCUGAAGCAGAAGAUAAGAGAUCGCACUGGAUACAGAGAAGAUCAGGUCAGACUGAUCUUCCUGAACAACCAGCUGGAGGAUGACCGUCUUCUGUCUGAGUAUGGAAUUGGACACUUGUCCCUCAUUCAUGUUAAGUUAAGUGGAGGAGGAAGCAUAUCUGGAGAUGAUGGAAUGGGCGACAAGGAGGGCAAUAACAGAAGUAUGGAAAAGCUCGCUGGGUUUUAAAACCGACCCUGAAGUUCCACUCUGGUAAGCCCUUUAAUCUGUAGUGAGAAAUCACCUGGAAAAGAAGUCGGGCACCACAAUAAAAUCAACCAGCGGUGUUCAAGCCACCUUCUCAAACCUAAUGCUGAAGAGUUUCUGCCAGACAUGAGAAGAAGCCACACAGAUGAACAGCCAAAAUGUUCUCAACGUCACCUUGAAGAGGUUUGCCUCAAGAGUCAAGUUAACAAAGUUGUUAAACAAAGACUUCCAUAUUCAUUUCCACUACACAAAGAUUUUCUUCCCACUAAAAACUGAGCAGCUGCAUCUAACUACUCAGCCCCCUUCACACUAGCCAAAAAUGUUUGCCUUGUGUAUGAAUUUUAAAAAUAUUUUGUGAAGGUGAUCACAAAAUGAUGUCUGAGUUAUAUUUUGUUUUAUAAUGACUGACCCUUUGCUUUGUUUACAUUAAGAAGAUUUUCCAAUUUUUAUGGAAUUUUUUAAUGUGAUCUCAUGGACUCAUAAAAUGUAGGAAAUAAAUUAAAAUGUGUCAUUAUGUAUGUAGCCUACGCCAAAUGGUCUAUUUUUUAACCUGUAAAAGAAAUAUUUGUAUUUUUGAUUUUGUAAUCUAAGUUUUCCAAAUGUGUUGCUUAUUAAACUACUUUUCCAGUCUUUUCAGCAGUUUGGUAUUGUUUUGGACUUGACCGGUAGAUAGUGCUACAGCUCUUUGUGCAGGUCACACAAGUUUCAUCUCACACUAAGCUGCUUGAAUGUAUGUGAAAUAUCUACUUGACAUUUUUUAUAGCGUAUGAGAAUAAACGUUACUUGUUUUGGUGUGAAUGAACUGUUGAUCAAACAGAAAAUGUAUUCACAGGCAUCCAUCCAAAUCACAUCCAACAGACAUUAUGCACUCAGGUAACUGAAGCUUUAUUAUGAUGAUGGUGCUGAGUAGAGAUCAGUUUGAGGGAAAGAAUCACUCGUGGCAACGUUAAAAACAAUAUGAGAAUGUAUAGCAGAUAUCUUCUGUGGUCAUCGCAUGCAUGAACGAAUGUCUAUUAUCUCAUGAAAUCCAACAGGAAAGUAUUGCAUGACAGAAGACGGCUGCGAGCUACAUAAUGGAAAGUGAUUGCGUUUGCAGAGCCCAUCUUCUGUGCCACACGGGUAUGGAGGUCUGUCUGGGAGCCACACCAUCACUGCAAGGGUUGAAGUAAGAGCUCGUCUUCAGGCACUCGGCUGUGAGCUUCAGACACACGAAGCAGAACUGGACCUGGCAGCGAGAACACCUGAUGUUCUUGCAGCCAGUUUUGUCAUGCUCCACCAUCUGACCACAGGUUGGACAGGCUCGGAUGGAAGGACAAGCCUUGACCCCCUUCACCUGACGGAGGGCGGUGGUCUUGCAGUUCUUGAGAAGCUCCAGGUCGUAGUUGACGCAGCCGUCGUUGUCGCAGCGGUCGGAGCGAGGAGCAGGACCUUUCCAUGGCUUCAGACACUGCCAGCAGAACUGGUAGGCCUUCUUCUUGUAAACUGUGCAGAUUGUGCACUGCGCGUUGAGGUUGGUCAGGUCCACUCUCCCCAAAAAGGUAUUGCACCCAGGACACUAUUGGACAAGAUGUGAGAAACAUUAAAGGAACUGUUCAACAUUUGUAGAAAUACACUAAUAGCUGUCAGAUCUGUGUGGUAAAGAGGAGACUGCUGAGCUUUAGUUUACCGAGUCAUUGACCUAAGCUGCUGCCUUGAGCUAAAUAUACACCAUACAAACACAAGAGUGGAAUCAAUCUUCUCGUCUACUUCCAUUUCCAUUAGCUACAUGAAUGGUGGAAGUUGAUAAAAAAUGCUGCUGAACUCAUAAUUAGACCACUGUGAAACUCUUUGAAACUGGACACUCACUGCUUUGACUUCACAGUACUGUGUGGCAGCCAUACAUGCGGUGUUCUCUUCAAGAUACUGCAUCUCUUCAGGCGUUCAGACACCGAGUCACACUUUUACAAGGUCACCGUCGCUGCAGGUGAACAAAAUGAAAUGAGACGCACGCACAUUCUUCAAUUGACUUAAUUAGGAUGACCAAAGCACACAUUACAGCAAUUAGGGCAUCAGACUAACGAACAUGAAGAGGACAAUGUUUUUUGCUUUUCAACAUAUUUUGGUGCUCACCUAGUGGAUCCAGAUCUUGCGGCCUGGUGACAAACUUUAAAGUCGUGUCUCGUAGGUCGAGUUUAUUCUUGUCUUUUCUCUCCUGACCCCAAGUAGAUGUUUUGUUUCGGGUUCUUCACUCUUCGUCGCCUGCCCUCUUCUCUGUCUGCAAUCAGGAAACAGUAUGUUGCCUUGUUCUUCUUCACUGAUACUGAAAUGUUUUGGUCUUGCUUUUGGUCCCUCAUGCUUUGCAAGAAGUCACAUGACUGUAGGGCAUUUCAGGUCUGAAUUCCCCCUCUGUGUCAUAUUUUGUUUCACUUUCAUUUUAUUUAGGGCCUGCUUUUAAACACAUAAAUACUGUGUUCAUUACCGUUUUUAAGUACUGUGACAGCAUGUGGCCUUAUUUGGAGGAACAGGUCCUAAUUGUGGUAAUUUUGCAGAAUUUGCAGAUUUAAAAAAACCUGCAAUUACAGGAACAUAUUAUUUAAUACUGUAUUAUAAUGUGGUUCACUCAGCCAUCAUUGGGGCGGCGGUCGCAGCGAGGAGCAGGGCCUUUCCACGGCCUCAGACACUGCCAGCAGAACGGGUAGGCCUUCUUCAUGUCUGCUGUGCACUGCCCGUUGAGGUUGGUCAGGUCCUCUCUCUCCACAUAGCUUUGCUUCCUGGACACUGUUGGAAAGGAUGUGAGAAAUAUUAAAGGAGUAAUUCAACAUUUUUGGGAAAUACACUCACUGGCUUUUAGGUUGGGGGUUAGAUAUGAAGACUGAUACCACUGGUGGAUCUGUAUGGCACACAGGAGCCAGCACAACCUCAGCAGCUUCGCAAAAAGACAGAAAGCAGAGGAAAACAGCUAGCCUGGCUAAAUAUAAACAUUUAAAAUCAGAAAUUUUUUUUCUCUCUCUUUUUUUCUGACUCCUUCUGUGCCUGACAGCUGGUUUGCAGGUGCUGAUGGUAGAUUUUGUUAGCUUUGGACAGAGCCAGACUAGCUGUUGCCUCCAUUUCCAGCCAAUGACCCGAGCUGCUGCCUUCAGCUAAAUAUGCACUAUGAAAGAGUGGAAUCAAUCUUCUCAUUUUCAAAUUUCAGUCAUUUCCAUUAUCUGCAUGAAUGCAGGAUGUUGUUCUAAAAACUGCUGCCAAACUUAUAAUUAGACCACUCUGGGACUUUUUGAAGGUGGGGACAACACUGGGACACUCACUUAUUUUGAAUCCAGGUUAUUCUAUGGCAGCCAUAGAUGUGAUGGUCUCUUUGAAACACUGCAUCAGCUGUCAGCACAACAAGCAUGCGCACCUCCUCAUAAGAUGUGUUUUCAGUUUCUCUUGGUUUCCUAAAAGUCACGUGAAUUCAUGAUGUGGCAGGUCUGGAUUCUCCCUCUGUAUCAUAUUUCAUUUUGUUUACUUACAUGCUGUCCGUGGCGCAUUAAUGCCGCAGCAUGUGACCUCAUUUGUGAAGAAAAGACAUUAAUUGCAGUAAUCUUUUUCACUGUGUUGUUUUGGAUUUGCAGAUAAAAACAAUAACAAUAAUAACUACAACAUAUUAUUUAAUAUUAUAAUAACGUUUGUGAAAAUUGUCGGCACUAUUAUAAUAUUGCAUAUUAUCCUAUUAAAUGGUUUCACAGCAUUUCCUUAUGUAACAAACAGAAUGUGGAGCAGCUUGUAAAAACACUGCUGGAGUGUAAGGUGAUUUCCAGCUGUCUUUACAGCACAGGGUAAUGUUCACUCAGGGGUUUUUUGUUUUGGUUUUGUUUUGGGUUUUUUUUUCCGCACUGAAGCUUUUAAAAGGCAGAACCAUCGUGAAGUCUCUGAGUGCAGUCGGUGAAAGACAAACGUGAAAGCCAUCUCAGCUCCUCUCUCAGGUCUCAGAAUGUGCCCAAACGACACCCUGAUGGACUAUGGCUUCCCAGCUGAGCCCAGAACAGCGCACAAAAUCGGCAGUAUGCAACAGGUCGUGGUUCAUGGAGCGAUGGGGGACGUCAUGACCGUCAACCUGGGCAACACAAAGGAGCAGAUCCAGGGGUUUACAGUGGGGCACCUGAAAGAAAAGAUCUUGGAGAGCUCUCCCAAGUGCAUGGGAAAGGACGAUAUUCGGUUGAUCUUCACAGACAAGAUGCUGGAAAAAGAUUCCGAUCGUCUCUCCAAAUACGGAAUCCGGGACAAGUCCGUCAUCCGCACGAUAAUGAGGCUUAGUGGAGGACUGAGCUCUUAACAUGAAACCGUUUCCUGCUGCUGUUGCCUCCACCCUGCUGCUUCUGACUGCUUCAUACAACAGCUCACUAUUACAUGAUAGGCUCUGGACAUCUUAAAAUGUGUCAUUAAGUAUGUAGGCCAAGGUCUCCAUUUGUAAUCUCAAUUUUGUAAUUUUUUCUGACUUUGUUGCACAUUAAACCACUUCAACUGCUCAAGA
Scatophagus argus is the source of this 8131-nucleotide RNA transcript. It is a transcript of the gene named ubiquitin carboxyl-terminal hydrolase 47, with no coding region annotated. The transcript has 14 exons. The record is from RefSeq and is a predicted model, not a curated record. Lineage: Eukaryota; Metazoa; Chordata; Actinopteri; Scatophagidae.